Molecule: ribosomal RNA, 497 nt
Filed under: uncultured bacterium
Lineage: Bacteria
Description: partial 16S ribosomal RNA
Rfam family: Bacterial small subunit ribosomal RNA
Source: RNAcentral
GACGAACGCUGGCGGCGUGCCUAAUACAUGCAAGUUGAGCGCUGAAGGUUGGUACUUGUACCAACUGGAUGAGCAGCGAACGGGUGAGUAACGCGUGGGGAAUCUGCCUUUGAGCGGGGGACAACAUUUGGAAACGAAUGCUAAUACCGCAUAAAAACUUUAAACACAAGUUUUAAGUUUGAAAGAUGCAAUUGCAUCACUCAAAGAUGAUCCCGCGUUGUAUUAGCUAGUUGGUGAGGUAAAGGCUCACCAAGGCGAUGAUACAUAGCCGACCUGAGAGGGUGAUCGGCCACAUUGGGAGUGAGACACGGCCCAAACUCCUACGGGAGGCAGCAGUAGGGAAUCUUCGGCAAUGGGCGAAAGUCUGACCGAGCAACGCCGCGUGAGUGAAGAAGGUUUUCGGAUCGUAAAACUCUGUUGGUAGAGAAGAACGUUGGUGAGAGUGGAAAGCUCAUCAAGUGACGGUAACUACCCAGAAAGGGACGGCUAACUACGUG